GGAGGAAGAGGUUGGAGGAAGGGAGGAAACUGAGAGAAGAAGCCCCCACCAGAAAGAUCAGUAAGUCAGACACCAUUAUUUCACCUUAAAUCCUCCCUCCUUAAAUGGAGAGACAGGUGUCCCUCACCUGUCUCUCCAGGUGUGGCAGGUGAAGGACAGGUCAAGUACAAGUGGAGGGCAAGUGGAGAACAGGUGAGACAUGUGAAGGGCCGGUGACUGACAGGUCGAGAAUCAAUAGCUGACAUCAGCAACAUCGUCGACAACCUGCUGGCCGAGAUCAGGAAGGGCUGCAGGCUGAGGAAGACAAGGCCACGGGCAGAGCCGGACGGUGGGGUCGAAGGUCACCCCGGGGUCACGCAGAUGUCACCGGCCCAAGAUAAGCCAGAUUUGCCCGAGAAGCCUCGGGAGGAGGUCCGGACUCCCACACAUCCACCUGCUGGAACCAGACCAGAACCAGAGCCAGACAGAGCUGCCUCAGAGCUCCAGGCCCUCGGUGAACCCCCUGCAGCUGAGGUCCAGGGUCCGGAGUCUGAAGUGGACACCAGACCGGCGCAGCAGGAAGUCCAGCACACAGCUGGUCAGCAGGAUGUGACCCAGGUCAACAGGAGCAAAGAUCCUAACCCGGAAGAUUCUGCUCCCCAGAACGCAUCAAACACCUUAGACACCAGCCCAGCAGAAGGCAGUGGUCACACAGGAAGAAAGCGUUUGAAGAAAAAGAAAAAAUGCAUCCUUCAGUGAGGUACAUGGGACAGGACUGGACCUGCAGGAGAACAAAGUGUUUAAAAGGGAAACACAAUCAUAAAGAACGAGGAAGCAGCAAGGAUUCUGGGCGGAGCUUCCUGUGACUGACUGAUCUAACCCUCGCUCACCUCUCAGUGGCGCCGAAGUAACUGCGUCCAUUUGUGAUGUCAGCAAGGUUUCUGUGUGCACUUCCUGUCAGGUCGAGGCGCUGCACUGUCUCUGAGCUC
This is a non-coding RNA of Maylandia zebra (zebra mbuna), 968 nucleotides long. The record is from RefSeq and is a predicted model, not a curated record. Lineage: Eukaryota; Metazoa; Chordata; Actinopteri; Cichliformes; Cichlidae.